GAACGGUGGCUGACACGAAGUGGCAGGCCGCGUCCCCAGUGCUUAACGCCUUCAGCCCUCCUGCCCUAAGUACUGUUACUUCCCUCAACUUUCGAAUGAGGGACCUAGGCCAGAAGGCAGCUCCUAAGCAAAAAGGAAGAACCUCAACCCUAACCCAGAAUGUUACUGUGACCAGAUCCUCGCGAUGCCUUACUCAAACCUGACAGCUGCUCCCACCAAGGUUCAACAGGAUAUCUCCCUGGAGCCUCCCCAGGACUGGGGAUUGAAUCCAGGGCCUUUGUAUGGAGCUACAUCCCCAGCUCUUCGUUAGGUUCAAACUUGUGAUUCUCUUGCCUCAGCAUCCCAAAAUGCUGGGAUUCCAGAGGUGCACCACCAUGUCCCUCCAUAUUUUUUCUAAGAUGC
This 402-nucleotide long non-coding RNA is filed under the name Heterocephalus glaber (naked mole-rat). RNAcentral's name for it is "lncRNA (ENSHGLG00000048742.1)". The record is from RNAcentral. Lineage: Eukaryota; Metazoa; Chordata; Mammalia; Rodentia; Bathyergidae.